CGAGGCCCAGCUCAGGGCUGCCCAGAGGGAGCAGGGCCAGCUGCCAAGCCGUGCAGCGGGCGGCUGUUUUCAUUGAGAAUGCAGCCCGAGAAGUUAAAACCUUCUGAGUUUUUUAAAGUCAGCUGGAGAACAUUAUAGUCACGCAGAACUGAAGGCAGACAACUCGUUAAAAUUAGCGUUGGCCGUAAUUAAAAACAUGCCAGGGGAAAAAGUCUAUGAGAAGAAACAGACUCUUGGAAAGCUCCUGACAUAGCUACAUGUCUAAAUGGAAACGUAGCUUGCUAAUUGAUUUAAAUGAUUGCCCGGCUCCUCCCCUGCUCGUUCCCUGCAGCAGGUACCGAAGCUGCCCUCUGCGGGCAGCCAGGCUGGGCACAGCCCCUUUCCCUCCCUGCCUUCUGCAGCCCGGUUCCUGAGGCAGCAGUUGCAGGAGCUGCCCUGCAGCUGGAACCCCUGGGGCUGCGUGCUGCCCACGGCUGUGUCCUGCUCUCACUGCGAACAUGAGGGUGCACACAGGAAGGAUUUUCAACUCAGAGUUAAGCCUUUGCGGUGGGUGCCAAUGCUGACCAUUCGUAGCAAAUAGCAAUAAUUUGGCUGUGCUUGUUGUAUCAUCAGAUCAGUUUGGAGUGUCAUUGCUAAAAUAAUGCCACUGCCAGCUGCGCUAGGAAUGAGCACAGUUUCUCUGCUGGUUACUGCAGUGUUUUGUUUCCUUUUGUUCUGGGCAAAAGACCCAGUCCUUACACAGGUAUCUUACGUGCUCCUCUGGUCAUGCUUCCUGAAAAUGAAACAACACUGGGGCUUCAGCUGCAUGGUGCUGUGCUGUAUGCUGGCAGCACAUGGCCGAGCAGCCUGAGUGAAUCCCAUUCCUUGUUAUACUACCAGGUCUGAUCUUGUGCUGCUGCUAAUCUUACAUCCAUCCUGUCCCAUUUAGCUGAAAUUUUUAUUUCCUUGUUAUUGCCUAUGGUUAGGAAGUGUACCCUUCCACACAUCAUCUUUCAUUUUUCCAUUGGCUUCCAUGGUAUAAUGCAGUAUGAGUGUGAAAAACUCUUCUUGUGUCAGUCUGGAGAAGCCCCAUGUUGUCACGCGCAGUCUUGGGGUUUGUGUGUGUUUCUAUGAAGAUAACAAACCCUGCUUCACAGCCUUACAUAAGGCCUACUGGCUUCAAUUAUGUGUUGUAACUCAGUGACUACCCUAUUAAAAUCAUAAUGCAAUUUAUAUUGGCUUUUAUUGCACGUUGUAACAUGAUGAUAGGCCCUUUUCAUGUGAUGCCUUUUGGCUUUUUUAACAAAUCAAAAUGUAACAGCCCACCUUUUUAUAUUCUAAUGUAAUGAACUCUUUCCACAGCUCCGUCUGAUGCUUAUUGGCUUCUCUGAGAGAUCCUAUUCCUAAUUUAAUGAGUCCCUCUUCACAUCAUAACGUAAUUCAUACUGGCUUUUACAGCAUAUCCUCGCACGCCGGUGCCAAAUCAUAUUGUGUCAUAAAGCUAAGUGGCUUCUAAUGGACAUCACACCUCAGUAACCCUGUCACACGUUGUAACAUUUUUGUCUGCCUCUCUAACACAUUGCAAAAGUCCAGUGGUUCUCCAGAAAGCCUGCUGCAGGCGUGAGCCAUGGGCUUUAGGCAGCAGGCGGCUGCGGCCCUUGCUGAGCGGCUGCAGGCUGUCGUGCUCUGGCUGUGUGUCACAGGGAUAUUUGGAGGGAUGUUUUAGAGAAACACUACCCACCUGACUUUAACGGCUCCCUUGCUCCUGUUAUGGGUUAUUGCACAACGACUGCCUUCAGAUCUAUUUCUCCAUGCAAGUAUUUUUAAGCUCGCGUAGGGUUUACCUUAUUUAAAUUCUUAAUGAGGCAUAUGUUUGCUUCUUUAACCAAAUUAUGCUAAGAUUAUUUUUUUGCAUUCCAGAGUCCAUUCUGGUCUUUGAUAUUUUCUGAGAAAAGGCUUUCCAUAGUGAGAAAAUUAAAUUCCUUUCUCAGUGUGUAUUACUGGCAGAGCGCUGUUUUCUGAAGGCAGCAGAGGUGGUGACACACCGUCCCUGACCCACAGCAGGACCUGCUAUCCCAGAGUUCAUGGUGAGACUUGAUGAGUAUUCAGAUGGAGAAUCCCACUCUUGGAAGAUGAAUAUUCACGAGAGUACUGCAGCCAGGGAAGGAACAUUUCCUUGUCUGCCCUGGUAAAUGGUUCUGCAACCCCACAUAAUGUGUCCUGUCUCCAGCCAAGGAGGGCUGGCUGUGACAGCUUCAUGGCUCACCAGCACUGCUCCUCAGAAUGGUAGUAUGUGGUGGAAGCUGAUGAUAUGGUCACUGUGAUCUUUGCAUGCAAACAUAACAGGUCUUAGGAGUUACUUCAUUUUACAAGUUGGAGAACUCUGCAUGUCGUUGGAUGAGGCCUUUUCCCUGCUGCAGGAGCUGCAGACUUCAGCGCUGACUGCUGCAUGUGCCAAAACAAGCCACCUGCUUGUAUGCAGCCCAGUAACUCCCUUGUGCAAACAUCUGCCACUCGGAGCUGAGAUGUGCUGCAAGAUGUGCUCACAGUGCCGUGGUCCUGACACCUUCUGCCUGCCCUGCCAACAGGGCUGCUCUUUAUUCUGGCUCCACGUGUCCCUGUGCAGAGCUGACUGGAGGAGGGAAGGGCAGACUGGGGGCUAUGGGGAAGACCAGUGCUCAGCCAGUUCUGCAUAAAGGAGAGUGGUGGGAAUCUGCAGUUAGAGCUGACUGAUAGCACUGUUUCCUUCUGGACAUUUCAUUGUUAAAAUGAGAGGCUUAAAGGGAAUUUAGAGACACAUUUGCAGUGGUGAUUUUUUAAUGGGACUUAAUUUGUCAUCUGUCUUGCAACUGAUAAAUUAAAAGCAUAAGAACAGAGGCAUGAAAGGGUUGCCAGCUUCAAACUGCUUGCUGUGCAGCCAAGAUUUUCCACAACUGUGAUCUUGGAAGGAAUAGAUAUUGAUAAGGGAGGUGAUGUGUGCAUUUGUUACAUGGAAAGGGUGCUGUGCAACCUAUCCAAGGUAGAGAGAGAUUGCUGUUUGAUGUUUGAUAUAAAGUCAGAUAAAUUAAACUUAAAAAAACUUCCAAUUAGAUAAAAUCAGGAGAGCAGUAAGUGGAGCAGACUGACACUAUUUCUCAGACAGUGGCCUAUGAAGGAAAAUUGGCUGAGCUUUAAAGAAGUGCUGGAGCUGGCUCAGAGAGUGAAUAUAUCUUUACUUAAAACUCUACAUAAAACUUUUAAACCAAUGUGGAUGAGUGAUAAGCUGUUAAAGUUAAUUGUGAGAGAAUACAGCUCUAAAAUACAGAGAGCAGUGGUUGAUGGGCUGCCAGAGGGAUUGUGAAGCUGCAAUACAAAUGGAGGAUGUGAAGGGCAGAAUGGAGAGCAGGUAAUUAUGGCCAUUAAGCUGCAGAGAAUGUUGGUGUUCGAGCACUUUCUGUGCUCAAAGAAACAAAACCAAAUGCUUGCGUCCUGCCCCUUCUGCUGUGUUAUUUCCAUUAGAUGCUAUACCACUAAAAGCUGCACUUACCAGGAAUAGUAACACGCCUGUGUUGGUUUACCUGUUACAGCUGUUGGUGUUAAUAUAAUUUAUAUCAAUUAUUAUAUCAUAAUAUUUAUAUAGCUACUGUAAGAUAAUGUGUAUAAUUAUAUAUUGUGAGCUAUAAUCAUGGAGUAUUGCAUUGCAUGUACUUAGAUGUGUGUAUAAUAUAAAUAUGCUUGUCAGUGAUAUGUAUUCUGCAGGAGGCUGUUACAGGUUCAUCACAUGCAGCGCUACAUGUCACAUAAUGCACUAUUACAAUAGUUACUGUUUAUAUCCCAUAUGCCAGCACCAGCUGCUGGCCCCCAGCAUCUGCAGGCAGCAGGUAAAUUUGUGUUGGGAAACAGCUUCACUCGUUGCAUUUUUUCAGCCUUGCUUUGGGGUAAGUUUCAUGCAUCCAGUCAUGAAGGUGCUGUUGGGAUGCUCAGGUAACCAAUUGCCUGAGUAUCUCUGUAUGAGGAAUUUCAGUCAGGUCAGUGUGGUAAUUAGAACCACCUACUUUGAUGUUUGUUUUUUUUUUUAAUUAAAGCAACCUGGAGGACACCAUGCCAGGAGAGGGACAUUUGCUGAUUGGAUUUGUGAAAAGCAUCUGAAGUUUGGCUUGAUUCUUCUGUCUUGCUAUUGAUGUGUGCGUUGCUGAUUUGGGCAGUUUGCAGAAUGCCUAAAUAAAACAAGACUAAAAACCCCAGUAUGGCUGAUGAGCUGUCGUGUUCCUAGAGAGUGAGCCAUGACAAGCCUGGAGGUCCAGCAGUGUCCAAGUAACUUCUGUACUCACUGGCACUGAGGAACCAGCACAGCCUCUGCCUGCACCAUUUGAGAUGGUUGGAGGAGAACAAGAAAUGCAUGAUCCCUGUUGCAUAAAGGUUGAUCUGUUUCCAGAAGCUCCCCAUACUUCAGGAUAUACCUCGAGGUGCCAGUUUUUACACAUCUUUAGCCCCGCCAGUGUUGUGCUUCAGCAGGAGCCUUGGCCAAGCUGGUGUUCCCAGUGCCUGCUGCCAGCUCAGAGGUGUUCCCUGUGGCACAGCACAUGUGCCUGCUCUGUUUGCUCAGGGACACCUCGUGUAUUUUAUGACAAAGGCUUUAUACCAGCUUUAGCUGUCUGAACAUACACUGCUUCUUCCAAGAAUUCCAGGAAUUUGGGAUAAAAAGGGGAAUUCCAGUGUCUCCUUAAAACGGCUUAGAAUCUGACUGCAUCAUGGUGUCUGUUGAACUGUGACUAAUGGCUGCAUCACAAAGCUGGUUCACCAGGUCACCUCAGCUGUAGCUGGCACCGUUGCUUCCCUGCAUGCCCUGGGAACUGCAGACUGUUCAGGUGCUGUGGGCCACAAGGACAAUCUGAUCUGCUUCAGCUUCUUCUAUGCUAUUUCGCUGGGUCACUUCUUAGGAAGAAGUACUUUAAAAAUCAAAGCUGGAAGGAAUUGCGUUAGGCCAGUGAAUGAUUCCAACUUAGUGCCCGCAUGUUUGGGAAGUCUGCUUCAUCACUGCAUUGCUACAUUUGUCAGAUCCGACAGAACAGCAGUGCCCUGGAAAUACCUUACUGCACAAAAAUCAAUAGGAAAUUGGAGAUUGGCUUCGUUAAGGACAUUCAUGUUCUGUGGCACUGUCACACAAUUGUUGCAUGGGAGUGUCUACACGUGGUAAUGAGGAGGAAUCAAAGCUUCAGAGGGAGCUGCAGGAACAGCUGGACCUCAUAAGAGCUGCAAAAGAAGAUUCCCCAGCUAAAACAUGUCCAUGGAGAGCCAUAUGUGCAUAGCUGUUAGGAUUUUGGAAUCAGUGUGGUGGAAUGACGGGGAGUUGAUGGGUAAAUAUUAAUUGAGAGAGCAACCCCUGCCAAGAAAUUCUUUGUGAUUGUAUUACCUUCUCUUCAUGCAAAAUAUUUACCAAGUCAAAUACUGUCAUUUAAGUUACCAUAACUUUGUAGUCAUUGCACAAGGACUUGAAGAGAAGGCCCAGUGGCCUGGCAACCUCCUGAUGUGCUCUUGUGCUGUCCCAGAGGCAGUGAGACUGUCAGCAUGGCACCAUGUGCUGGGAAGCUGCUUUCCAUUCUACGUGCAGCAUCACAGGGCUGUGCUGAGCCAUAUGCCAAGCAGACACCUCGUCCUGGCCAGCUUUGGGCCAGGGGAUGGAAGGGAAAGUGAUUUCUUGAAACUUCAGCAUAUGCUUUCCAUUUGUGUGAGCUGGCACUGCCACGAGCCAGAGGAGGCUUGCAGCAAGCGGGGCUGUGCAGGACUGGCACCUGCUAGGCUGUGCUUGGUUGCUUGGGUGACUUCUGGACCUUCUGGUACUGUGAGUGAGCCACAUUUGAUGGAAAGAUGAUGAGCAUUUUUUCUCGACCCCAUGUCAUUGUGGAGUGGUUGGAGCUUGCUGUCAUGGACAGUCUUGUCUUGCAGAGAGCAUUACAUCCCUGCAGAAGGAGAAAUGCUGUAGUUGUUCUAAUUGCAAGAGAAGCUUCAAGGAACAUUUGCAUUUAAUUAUUGUUAGAAGUGUGCAGCAAAACAGAUUUCAUUGUUUUUAGCUCUUACAAAGCCAUAUGUCUAUGUCUCCGGAUUCCAAAGCCACAUAACAAACAAAACAAACAAAAGCAAGACCACAUAGCAGUAAUUAAAUGUCUUUGUUCCAGAAUAGAGUCAAGACUGGCAGUAGCAGAGAAGCCAGGAUGCAUAGCUGAAGCAGGAGAGCAGAGAGGAGCAAUGGUCUGUCUUUGUGGGGAAUGAGGAGCGUGGGUCUGUGUGCACCCUGGGAAGGGGCUCCUGACCAAGAACACAGUACUGGAACCUGCUGUGCGGUUGUUUGCAGCUGGAAAAAUGCAAUGGAGAGGCGAUUCUUCAUGUAAUUCUUAGGUGAGCCUGUUGAAUCAGUUGGAGCUGUUCUUUGUUAACUCAUUCAAAACUGACAUUUUAUUUUGUCCCAGUGAGCUGGAGCAGACUGGCUUGCUUCUCAUAGGGUGUCUGUCCAGCUGCCUCUAAGACAGUGGAAGGAACCAGAGGCUGUGAUCAGUGACUGAGUGAAGGGACGAAGGUCAUUCCUCUCACGGGGACAGAAUCUCCUCCUACUCUCUGGCACCGCUUCUGUGCUCAGUGUUGUUCCUGCUAAUCGGGAUGCUUUGAAACAGAGAGAGAGGAUAGCGGGAGGUGCAAGAAGGAAGGCUGAAUUAAAGGCAGAAGAGAGCACAGUGGGGAUACAGACAGAAAAACAGGCUGCGUGCUGAGCACAUUUAAAUGGGCACAGCUGGAACAAUGUUGGAGAGUAACAAAACUAUCUUUGCAUGUAUGUUUGCCUGUUCCCGUGUUAUUUUUCCCAGUACUGCAUACAGCAUGGUUCCCCCACAAGGUUAAAGAUCACAAUAAUGUUUUAUGUAGGUAGCAGAAUACCCUGUGUAGAGGAAGUAGUACAUGAUUUACUUAGAGAAUAGAGAUUUCGUGGUUUUUAACACAUGCAAGGAAAUUUGUCCACUGGCAUCUGUUGUGAAGAUGACAUCCCUUUGCUACAGGUCAGGAAGCAAAAGCAUCUGUGGCUGCGAGGACAGUGCUUGCAGAAAACACUUGUGCAGAUAUCUUCAUUCAGGUCUGGUUCCCAUCUAGGAAGAGGCAUGUCCUCAGGAUGGCUGCUGAGUGCCAUCAGCACUAGGAGAGAAAAGAACAGAUGUAUGGCUUUAAACCAAGAUAUGAAAAAGCAGGAAUCUGAAGUUAGCUUUAAAGUUAUUUGGGCUGGAGUAUUGGUGGGAAGUGUCAGUGGGCUGCAGCUCAGAACCUGCAAUAACUGCUUAGCUGUCUGGCUUUUUCUUCAGCAAUCUCACUUGAGCGUUUUCAUGUGCAAGCAGAGGACACUGAUCUGCCCUGUCUUCCAUGCAUGCACAUUCAUUCAGCGCCGUCCCCUUUGGACUUGAGAACAGACAUAUCAGGUAAAUGCAGGUGGAUGCAGCCAAUGGUAAAGUUGUUUUUCUUCCAUUGUGCUGAUGCAUGGAUAGCAACCCCAUCCCAAUCUUACUGUUGGGUCAUCAGUCAAGACUUAAGGACUGCCGAAAGUAUGGCUCAUCCCUGAGCUGUUUGCAAAUCAGUGUUUUACAUAUUCUGGACCUGUCCAAGCUGAGCCAAACUGAUUUUUGCAUCCAACAAAGAAAUGAUAGGAUGAGAGGGAAUGGCCCCAAGUUGUGCCAGAGGAGGUUCAGGCUGGAUAUUAGGAAGAAUUUAU
Molecule: non-coding RNA, 7705 nt
Organism: Meleagris gallopavo (turkey)
Lineage: Eukaryota; Metazoa; Chordata; Aves; Galliformes; Phasianidae
Source: RefSeq, a predicted model, not a curated record